Molecule: ribosomal RNA, 253 nt
Filed under: uncultured bacterium
Lineage: Bacteria
Description: partial 16S ribosomal RNA
Rfam family: Bacterial small subunit ribosomal RNA
Source: RNAcentral
CACGUAGGGCGCAAGCGUUGUCCGGAAUUAUUGGGCGUAAAGAGCUCGUAGGCGGUCUGUUGCGUCUGCUGUGAAAACCCGGGGCUUAACCCCUGGCUUGCAGUGGAUACGGACAGACUAGAGGUAGGUAGGGGAGAAUGGAAUUCCCGGUGUAGCGGUGAAAUGCGCAGAUAUCGGGAGGAACACCGGUGGCGAAGGCAAUCCCCUGGGCCUGCACUGACGCUCAUGCACGAAAGCGUGGGGAGCAAACAGG